Molecule: ribosomal RNA, 233 nt
Filed under: uncultured bacterium
Lineage: Bacteria
Description: partial 16S ribosomal RNA
Rfam family: Bacterial small subunit ribosomal RNA
Source: RNAcentral
CGGGACGGGUGAGUAAUGUAUGGGGAUCUGCCUGAUGGAGGGGGAUAACUACUGGAAACGGUAGCUAAUACCGCAUAAUGUCUACGGACCAAAGCGGGGGACCUCCGGGCCUCGCGCCAUCAGAUGAACCCAUAUGGGAUUAGCUAGUAGGUAAGGUAACGGCUUACCUAGGCGACGAUCCCUAGCUGGUCUGAGAGGAUGAUCAGCCACACUGGGACUGAGACACGGCCCAG